RNAcentral lists this transfer RNA (68 nucleotides) under Perisphaerus sp. 3 ZQW-2023b. RNAcentral describes it as "tRNA-Phe". It matches the Rfam family "tRNA". Rfam says of the family: Transfer RNA (tRNA) molecules are approximately 80 nucleotides in length. Their secondary structure includes four short double-helical elements and three loops (D, anti-codon, and T loops). Lineage: Eukaryota; Metazoa; Arthropoda; Insecta; Blattodea; Blaberidae. The record is from RNAcentral.
AUUUAAAUAGCUUAAAAUAUAAAGUGUAACACUGAAGAUGUUAAGAUGAUAAUAUUUGUCUUUAAAUA